AUAAACUGAGUUUUAUGGAAAAGCUCUAGGGGCAAUGUGGGUACCCUCACGCUCUUUUUGUUAAUCUUGUGGGUCGUGCUGGUGGUUUAUCUUUAUGGUGGGAUAAUUCUGUACAGUUAACAUCAAUUCAGUGGUCUCAAAAUUUUGUGCAUUAUACAGUAUCUAAUAUACAGUAUGUUCCUUUAGCUUAUUUUACUUUUGUUUAUGAUUGCUCUGAUCAUCGGCUACAUCACUCCUUUUUUGAAUCUUUGUUUCGUCUUCAUCCUACAUCUUCUCUGUGGUGCUGUAUUGGGGAUUUUAAUGCCCUUCGUUCUUAAGUGGGUAAAUCUGGUGGUAGGGUAGUGAGUUCUUCUCGGGUGAAUUUAUUUAAUGAUUUAUCCACUCUUGUGAGUUAUUGGAAGUGUCGAGUGAAGGAUCUCCUCUCACUUGGUUUAAUAAGCAUUUUGAUACUUCCACCAUUCAAUAAUGACUAGAUUGGGCUUUGGUUUCUACGGAAUGGCAAGAGAGUUUUUCUCAUACUCAGUUACUUCAUGAGUCUUUACUUGAAUCUGAUCAUUGCCCACGUAUCUUGCUUUUGCAUUCCCUCCCUCAUAAGUGAUCCUUUCUAUUUCAUUUUGAAGCAAAAUGGUUGUUACACCCACAAUAUGAGAGUAUUUUUCAACAAGCUUGGUGUGCUCCUCAUCAGGGUUCAUCUAUGUUUUCUUUAGUGCAAAAAUUAUAUAGUUGUUGGACCUUCUUUACUUGUUGGAAAGGUACUAUCUUUAAAGAUCCUCAAGCUCUUUUACUUUUCCUACAACAACAAUUAGAGGAGGUGUAUUCUCGCCCUUUCAAUCUUGCAAAUUCUGGUGUGGUAGCUAAAUUAACUACAGACAUUCAUGACUUAUGGCAGCAAGAUGAACUUCACUGGUGACAAUGAUCUCAUAUUCAGUGGUUGCAAGCUGGUAAUUAUAACCCUAAAUUAUUUCAUCUAUCUACCAUCCAACAGUGUUAGAGAAAUUUCAUUAUUCGGCUCCAAAAUGAAGUUGGAGUCUGGGUUGAAACUCAAGUUCUUAUUUGUCAGGAUAUCGGAAAUUUUUUUCAACAGUUGUAUAUGUCUACUUCAUUAGCGGAUCCUUCUGUUGUUAUAUCUAUGAUUCCGCGACUUGUUACUACUGAUAUGAAUGACCAGUUUUUGUCACCUAUUACAGAUGAUGAAGUACGACAUGCAGUUUUUGAUCUAGGUAGAGAUAAGGCUCCGGAUCCUGAUGGUUUUUCAGGUUCAUUUUUUCAGCAUCACUGGGACAUUAUUGGUCAUGAGUUGGGUCAAGUUGUGCUCAUGUUUUACACUUCGGGUUAUUUAUUGAAGGAAUUAAAUCGUACAAAUAUUGUUCUAGUACCAAUGUGUCACUGUCCAGAGACUCUUCAGUAUAAGGUCAUUUCUAAAACGAUGGUGCACCGUCUUAAGACUUAUAUGGACUUACUUAUUCCUUCUGAUCAGCCAGCUUUUAUCCCUUCUCGUGCUAUCCAGGAAUAUAGUUGUUGUACAAGAAGCAUUUCACUUUUUGAAAACUUCUAAUCGGAAACAUCAUUCCCUACUAGUUAAAUUGGAUAUGUUUAAAGCCUAUGAUCAAGUUGAUUGCGGUUUCUUGCGUUCUGUUUUGUUACAAAUGGGUUUUGUUAUAGCUUGGGUUCAGUUAGUUAUGCAGUGCGUUUCAACUGUUAGUUUUUCCAUCUUAGUCAAUGGUAGUCCUACUGCUCCUUUUUCUCCUUCACGUGGGCUUCGUCAAGGAGAUCCUUUGUCCCCUUCUCAGGUUCUUUCUUACUUAAUGGUUGCUACCAAGUCAAAUGGUUGGCUUUAUGGCAUCAAGCUCUCACAGUUUUCUCUGGCUAUUACCAAUGUGUUGUUUGCUGAUGAUACUUUACUUUUUUUCUAAAGCCACUCGUCAUGAGGCUGGUCAACUUCUUCAGGUUUUCUAAUAGUAUAUUGUUGUCACAAAUAAAAGUAUUAAUUUUCAUAAGUCUCAAGUUUUGUUUAGCAAACAUACUCCUCUGACUCUGCAUCAAGAGCUUUGUAACGACUCAGAAAUCGAACCGCUACCGGCGCUAGGAUCCAGAUCGACUUAAGGUCGUCGGGACCCGUAGCAAGCCUACAUACAUCCUGUACAUCUGAUAAAAUCCCAUACAUGAUCAAACUUUUGCAUAAAACUUUAAACUUUUUAUACACCAAGCUUGACCUGUGCAUGCACCAUAACUGUAAAUAUAAAACCCCACACUAGAGCCCUCAUUAAAUGCUCUAGCGGGGUAACAUAUCAUAUGUUAAGUCUGGUUCGACAUAACUCAUCGUUAAAACAUUUCAUAUAGAUGAUGAACAAAAGGGGGAUUAACCAUACAUUAGGGCCAAGCACAAUACUAAUCCUCAUUACAACACUGUACAAUACCUUACAUUGCAUUACAUUAUUUUACAUAUCAUGUCCACUACUAAUCUAUUACAUAUACAUAGCUUUUACCCUUGACGACCUCCCGGUCUAUCCUGAACCUGCAAACCUGGGGGUUAGGGGAAAAAGGUGAGCUACAAGAGCCUAGUGAGCAGAACAAUAAAAACAGUUUAUAAAUAUAUGUCAUCAUGGAAUGCAUCACAUCACAAACAAUUCACAUCACGGAUGGAUUUGUCACCAAUAACCCUCUACAUAGUCCAAUUGUGCCAGGGGCGUAGUGUAAUACCCGGCUAGACUCCGGUAUCGGAAUUCCUACCGUCCGGUGGAAUCUCGGAUGUCUGAAACCUCUAGAAGGGUAAAAACAUGUUUUUUUUAUAAAAUGUUUUCAUGUAUUUUAUGGUUUUAGGUAAGAAAGAAAUUUAGUUUUGAAUGAAAAAGACCAUAGAGGGAAAUCCAGGUUCGGCCGCCGAACCUCAUGUUCGGCCGCCGAACAUGCAUGAGUUUUGGAGUCACUUUCGGCUUCCGAAUGUGGCCUGGCCAGCCACCUAUAAAAGGCCCCAUGGCCGAAAAUGGGCGAGCUUUCUCCCCUAUUUUCGGCCAACGGUGAGUCCAUGCCCUUCCAUGGUUAGUUUCAAUGAUUUCCUUUAAAUCUUUCAAGUUUUGACAAGCCUUCAUCUUAUUUUUGAAGAUUUUUGAGUUAAAAACGGAGUUUUGGAGCUUGGAGACCCAAGGAGCUAGAUUUCUCUCAUUUCCAAGUUAGAAUCAUCUCUCCUCUCGAUCUUCAAGAGGUAAGCUUAGAUCCUACCUUUCUUGUAUGUUUUAAGCAAGUUUUGAGGGGUUAUGGGGUAGAAAUGCAUGCUUAGGUUAAUGUUGAGUUUAUGGACAAUGUGUGUUGUAUGAGUUGCUAUUUGUGUUUGUGUUGGGGUUUAGGUUAGUUUGAGACCCCUAUAUGCUUAUUUGCUUGUGUAUGCAUAUUGUAGAAUAGCUAAAUGCAUGUUUGAAUGGUUUGGGAGGCAAAAUGUGCAUGAGGAGGCUGAGUUCUGCCCUUUGGAAGAACUCAGGUUCGGUAGCCAAAGGACUUUCGGCCGCCGAACCUGCCUGUGGAGGCAAGCUUUUGGCUGCCGAACCCUGCCCCCGAAAGUUGGACUUUCGGCUCUGGAGGGGAGUUUCAGCCAUCGAAGGUGCCGCCGAACAUGCACGAGUUUCGGCUCUGGAACCACUUUCGGCCGCCAAAGGUGCCGCCGAAAGUGGUUGAGUUUCGGAUCUGGAGGGACUUUCGGCCGCCGAACCUGCCGCCGAAAGUGCUCUGUUCAGCCUUCCUUUGCAUGUUUUCUAUGAUUGUUUUAAGGUGUUUUAGGGGGUUUUUGGGGAGUUGUUUAGAGUCAUGUUCAUGUUUGUUUGGUCCCUCAUUUGAGUCCACCUGUGUAGGUUCGAACCCGAGGAACCGAGGACCCCAGCAGUGAGUUAGCUGCUUCAGUGUCUUCUCAGAGCUAGCCUGAGGUGAGUAGAAUAACUCCUUAUGUUUCAAAGUAAAUAAAUCAGUUCUGAGCAUGUUCAUGCAUCAAGAAUGCCAUGAGAUAUAUUAGGUUGUUUGCAUUAGAAUUCACGAAUAUGUUGCAUUGCAUAAUAUGAUGAUGAUGUGGAUGGGUAUUGGAUGAUCCUUUAUUCCUCGUAUGAUAUGACAUGAUGAUGAUAUGGUAUGGCAUGAAAGUCCAGGUCGAGGCCCAUUCUACGCCCCUGGCACUAUGUUAAGAGAAAGACCAGGUCGAGGCCUAUUCUAUGCCCCUGACAUUAUUGAAAUGCUAUGUUAUGUUAUGUUAAGAGAAAGACCAGGACGAGGCCCAUUCUACACCCCUGGCACUAUUGGUAUGUAGAGGACUACUGGUGACAAGUCCAUCCUUGAUUGUGAUUUAUUUGUGAUGUGAUGCAUUCCAUGAGAUCAUAUGUUUUAAAUACAAUAUUUUAUUAUUCUGCUCACUGGGCUCUAGUAGCUCACCCCAUUCCCUUAAUCCCCAGGUCGGCAGGUACGGGAUAGACCGGGAAGUCAGCAAGAGUAAAGAAGUCAUGUUGUAUGUAAUAGUUAGAUGUGGACAUGCAUUGUAAAAUGUUGUAAUGUGGUAUUAUGUAAAGAAUUGUGUU
This 4553-nucleotide long non-coding RNA is filed under the name Manihot esculenta (cassava). Its description in RNAcentral is "long non-coding RNA (MESC_LNC002764)". The record is from RNAcentral. Lineage: Eukaryota; Viridiplantae; Streptophyta; Magnoliopsida; Malpighiales; Euphorbiaceae.